This 892-nucleotide ribosomal RNA is filed under the name Ascobulla japonica. RNAcentral's name for it is "partial 16S ribosomal RNA". It matches the Rfam family "Bacterial large subunit ribosomal RNA", at positions 515 to 2529 of the family's 2925-position model. Lineage: Eukaryota; Metazoa; Mollusca; Gastropoda; Volvatellidae. The record is from RNAcentral.
AUUCUUUAAUUUAUUAUAGUAAAAAUGAUUAGAGCUUCAUACCAGAAGUGUUUUAUUACAAUUAUAUGUGUUUUACUUUUUGUAUAACGGUUAAACUAUAUUUUUAUUUUAUUAAUAAUUCCCGAAAUAAGAAGAUCUAGACUGCUCUAGUAUCUUAGUAUGUAAACCUAGUGUGGCAAUACUAGUGGAAGAGAGUAGUUUAGGGGUGAAAAGCUUACAAUUCUUAUGAUAUCUGGAUAAGAAGGAAAGGUAUUUAGUACCUUAGACAAAUAUAAGGUGCCUAGAUCUUAUAUUUUAAGUAUUAUUUAAAAUUUUAUUUUGUUUUAGAGUUAACCCUCUAAAGUGACACCAAGCUUUAAAAUUAAUUAAAUUUUAAUCUUUCAAUAACUUCUUUUUUCUAGCUAAUUUUUGUUAGAAUUUAUAAUGUUUAAAUUAGUAGUACAAUAUUUUUAAUAUAAAACCUAUAAUAAGGAACUCGGCAAAUAUUAGCCUCAUCUGUUUAACAAAAACAUAGUCUAAAGAUUUAUUUUCAUUUUAGAUUAAGCCUGCCCAGUGCUGAUAAUACAGUAAAUGGCCGCAGUACCCUGACUGUGCUAAGGUAGCGUAAUCAGUUGGCUUUUAAUUGAAGUCGUGUAUGAAUGGAUUUAUGGGGCUGAGCUGUCUCUUUAAGGUUUAGUUGAAUUUGAUCAAAGGGUGAAAAUACCCUUCUUUUGAUAAAGGACGAUAAGACCCUUGGAGUUUUUACUAAAAAGCUAAUUAAGUAGCUUAAUGUUUUUGCUGGGGCGGCAAAAAGGUAAAAUAAGCCCUCUUUAAUUAUUAGCCGAAAAUUUUAAGUGCAUAAAAACUACCCGAGGGAUAACAGCAUUAUUCUUUAUAGAGUUUGUGACCUCGA